UGGGGAAUCUUGGACAAUGGGGGAAACCCUGAUCCAGCCAUGCCGCGUGAUCGAUGAAGGCCUUAGGGUUGUAAAGAUCUUUCAGCUGGGAAGAUAAUGACUGUACCAGCAGAAGAAGCCCCGGCUAACUCCGUGCCAGCAGCCGCGGUAAUACGGAGGGGGCUAGCGUUGUUCGGAAUUACUGGGCGUAAAGCGCACGUAGGCGGAUCAGUCAGUCAGGGGUGAAAUCCCGGGGCUCAACCCCGGAACUGCCUUUGAUACUGCUGGUCUUGAGGUCGAGAGAGGUGAGUGGAAUUCCGAGUGUAGAGGUGAAAUUCGUAGAUAUUCGGAGGAACACCAGUGGCGAAGGCGGCUCACUGGCUCGAUACUGACGCUGAGGUGCGAAAGCGUGGGGAGCAAACAGG
This 404-nucleotide ribosomal RNA is filed under the name bacterium. RNAcentral's name for it is "partial 16S ribosomal RNA". It matches the Rfam family "Bacterial small subunit ribosomal RNA", at positions 355 to 776 of the family's 1533-position model. RNAcentral also lists the same sequence under 3 other names. The record is from RNAcentral.